CAAGCCAGCAACAGGAGCGGUGCACACCAUCGCGCAGGCCAGCUGCUGAAGAUUUCCUGCCAGAAAUUGCUGCUGGCUAUAAACAGUCUUUAGACUUGGCAGCUGAAAUCAAAUCUGAAGUGCAGCAGCUUAAAGACGUGGUGGGUGCCGUUGCGACAACCUUUCAGCGAGAGGCAGAAACGAUGCAGGGCCAAUCAGCUGCCCUGCAUCGCCUGGCUGCUGCUACAGAGGCACUGGCUGACUCGCAAGCACGCCAGGCCACUGCACUGGAGCGGAUGGCAGCUGUUCAAGAGAACACACUGGCCAACGAAUCUGCGUACCAGGCUCGUAUUGUUGUUGCAGCGGAGCGGCUAGCAAUUACAGGGCAGUUGAUACUGCAGCAAGUGCAGUGGCUGUCCACCGUCGCCCCUAUCAGCGCUGAACCUCCAGCGAAAUAGCGUCAUUGAUAUUUUAUUUUAUUCCACUUCUAUCAUUACAAGUUUUAAAGGUUCUUUUUAAAUGUUACUAUUGCCGUCCUACUUUAUUAUGCUAUUCCAGACAACUGAGGUUUUGUGUGUAGACAAAGUUCUUUCAAUUUUAUUCAUUUUGGUUUACAUCUUUUUAUUUUGCUAUAUUAUCCAAACCACCUACUCCAGACAAUCGUUUCAUUUUGUGUGUAGGCAAGAAUAUUUGCAUUUCAUUCAUUUCUGUUUGCAUCACUUUGUUAUGUCAUAUUACCCAAAAUAGCCUAGAUUACUUUGUGUACAUUUCUUGUUACUACCCUUAUUUUACAUUAUUAAUCCUGUCAGCUGUGAUAGACUCUGGGCAGUGCGCAACCAAUAAUAACUGCAAUUUGUUAUUUUAGCUCACUAUACCAUUCUCUUUCGCAGUGUUAUCCUAUCUCAGCCAAAUACUCUGUGAUGUUAUGACACAGUUAAUCCUGUCAGCUGUGAUAGUCUCUGGGCAGUGUGCAACCAAUAAUAACUGCAAUUUGUUAUUUUA
This is a non-coding RNA of Dermacentor andersoni, 981 nucleotides long. The record is from RefSeq and is a predicted model, not a curated record. Lineage: Eukaryota; Metazoa; Arthropoda; Arachnida; Ixodida; Ixodidae.